GUCUAUGGCCAUGCCACUCUGAACAAGCCCGAUCCCGUCUAAUCUCAGAAGCAAGGUCGGGCCUGAUUAGUGUUUGGGUUGGAGACCACCUAGGAAGACCAGGUGCUGUAGGUG
This 114-nucleotide ribosomal RNA is filed under the name Pteropus alecto (black flying fox). RNAcentral also lists the same sequence under 1 other name. Lineage: Eukaryota; Metazoa; Chordata; Mammalia; Chiroptera; Pteropodidae. The record is from RNAcentral.